Molecule: ribosomal RNA, 653 nt
Filed under: uncultured bacterium
Lineage: Bacteria
Description: SSU rRNA
Rfam family: Bacterial small subunit ribosomal RNA
Source: RNAcentral
CUAGUUGGUGGGGUAAAAGCCUACCAAGGCUGCGAUCGGUAGCUGGUCUGAGAGGACGAUCAGCCACACUGGGAUUGAGAACGGCCCAGACUCCUACGGGGGGCAGCAGUGAGGAAUUUUCGGCAAUGGGGGCAACCCUGACCGAGCAACGCCGCGUGCAGGAGCUCAUCUUCGGAUCGUAAACUGCUUUUCUCUGGGAAGAGCGAGGACGGUACCAGAGGAAGAAGCCCCGGCUAACUACGUGCCAGCAGCCGCGGUAAUACGUAGGGGGCGAGCGUUGUCCGGAGUUACUGGGCGUAAAGGGCAUGUAGGCGGUCCGAUCAGUUUGGGGUUACAGCUCCCGGCUCAACUGGGAGAGCGCCUCGAAGACGGUGGGACUUGAGAGCCAGAGAGGGACACAGAAUUCCGGGUGUAGUGGUGAAAUGCGUAGAUAUCCGGAGGAAUAUCAAAGGCGAAGGCAGUGUCCUGGCUGAUUUCUGACGCUGAGGUGCGAAAGCUAGGGGAGCGAACGGGAUUAGAUACCCCGGUAGUCCUAGCCGUAAACGAUGACCACUAGGUGUGCGGGGUAUCGACCCCCUGCGUGCCGCAGCUAACGUGAUAAGUGGUCCGCCUGGGGAGUACGGUCGCAAGAUUAAAACUCAAAGGAAUUGACG